Long non-coding RNA from Oncorhynchus keta (chum salmon), 740 nucleotides. RefSeq lists it as uncharacterized. NCBI's taxonomy places the organism in Eukaryota, Metazoa, Chordata, Actinopteri, Salmoniformes, Salmonidae. The transcript is spliced from 4 exons. The record is from RefSeq and is a predicted model, not a curated record.
ACCAGUAGGUCACAUGUCAGUACAUACACACAACCAGUAGGUCACAUGUCAGUACAUACACACAACCAGUAGGUCACAUGUCAGUACAUACACACAACCAGUAGGUCACAUGUCAGUACAGACACACCACAAGUAGGUCACCACAACCAGUAGGUCACAUGUCAGUACAUACACACAACCAGUAGGUCACAUGUCAGUACAUACACACCACAAGUAGGUCACAUGUCAGUACAUACACACAACCAGUAGGUCACAUGUCAGUACAUACACACAACCAGUAGGUCACAUGUCAGUACAUACACACAACCAGUAGGUCACAUGUCAGUACAUACACACAACCAGUAGGUCACAUGUCAGUACAUACACACAACAAGUAGGUCACAUGUCAGUACAUACACACAACCAGUAGGUCACAUGUCAGUACAUACACACAACCAGUAGGUCACAUGUCAGUACAUACACACAACCAGUAGGUCACAUGUCAGUACAUACACACAACCAGUAGGUCACAUGUCAGUACAUACACACAACAAGUAGGUCACAUGUCAGUACAUACACACAACCAGUAGGUCACAUGUCAGUACAUACACACAACCAGUAGGUCACAUGUCAGUACAUACACACAACCAGUAGGUCACAUGUCAGUACAUACACACAACCAGUAGGUCACAUGUCAGUACAUACACACAACAAGUAGGUCACAUGUCAGUACAUACACACAACCAGUAGGUCACAUGUCA